RNAcentral lists this transfer RNA (65 nucleotides) under Macroscelides flavicaudatus (Namib round-eared sengi). RNAcentral's name for it is "tRNA-Thr". It matches the Rfam family "tRNA". From Rfam's summary of the family: Transfer RNA (tRNA) molecules are approximately 80 nucleotides in length. Their secondary structure includes four short double-helical elements and three loops (D, anti-codon, and T loops). Further hydrogen bonds mediate the characteristic L-shaped molecular structure. tRNAs have two regions of fundamental functional importance: the anti-codon, which is responsible for specific mRNA codon recognition, and the 3' end, to which the tRNAs corresponding amino acid is attached (by aminoacyl-tRNA synthetases). tRNAs cope with the degeneracy of the genetic code in two manners: having more than one tRNA (with a specific anti-codon) for a particular amino acid; and 'wobble' base-pairing, i.e. permitting non-standard base-pairing at the 3rd anti-codon position. Lineage: Eukaryota; Metazoa; Chordata; Mammalia; Macroscelidea; Macroscelididae. The record is from RNAcentral.
GUCUUAAUAGUAUAAUUAUUACAAUGGUCUUGUAAACCAUAAAUGGGGUUAUACCCCUUAAGACU